CUGCCCCAAGAACAGAGGCAGUGCAUCGUCUUGGAUUUCCUCCACGGUGCGUUUCAGAACUGUUUCUGAUCUUCUGUUUGUGUUCUGAUGGUUAAACUGAGCUGAAGUGAAUGUUUUCCUCCUGCAGGCGUCUGUCAGGAGCAGCUUGUUCUUCCUUCUGAAGAACCCACCUCCAACAGAGAACAGUUGGAGAUCCAGCUCGCCAAGGUGGUUCUGCUGCUCUGCUUCAUCGGUCUGAUUAACAAUGAGCUGGUGCCUAAACUGGAGUUCGAGACAGAGGUAAGUUUAUAUGCAGAAUAUUUCAGAUUCUUUGUUCACGCUGCAGAUUGAU
Pygocentrus nattereri (red-bellied piranha) is the source of this 331-nucleotide long non-coding RNA. The record is from Ensembl. NCBI's taxonomy places the organism in Eukaryota, Metazoa, Chordata, Actinopteri, Characiformes, Serrasalmidae.